This 164-nucleotide ribosomal RNA is filed under the name Caltha leptosepala. Its description in RNAcentral is "5.8S ribosomal RNA". It matches the Rfam family "5.8S ribosomal RNA". Rfam says of the family: 5.8S ribosomal RNA (5.8S rRNA) is a component of the large subunit of the eukaryotic ribosome. It is transcribed by RNA polymerase I as part of the 45S precursor that also contains 18S and 28S rRNA. The record is from RNAcentral. Lineage: Eukaryota; Viridiplantae; Streptophyta; Magnoliopsida; Ranunculales; Ranunculaceae.
UGAAUGACUCUCGGCAACGGAUAUCUCGGCUCUUGCAUCGAUGAAGAACGUAGCGAAAUGCGAUACUUGGUGUGAAUUGCAGAAUCCCGUGAACCAUCGAGUCUUUGAACGCAAGUUGCGCCCGAGGCCACUAGGUUGAGGGCACGUCUGCCUGGNCGUCACAC